RNAcentral lists this transfer RNA (72 nucleotides) under Camelus bactrianus (Bactrian camel). It matches the Rfam family "tRNA". Rfam says of the family: Transfer RNA (tRNA) molecules are approximately 80 nucleotides in length. Their secondary structure includes four short double-helical elements and three loops (D, anti-codon, and T loops). Lineage: Eukaryota; Metazoa; Chordata; Mammalia; Artiodactyla; Camelidae. RNAcentral also lists the same sequence under 2 other names. The record is from Rfam by way of RNAcentral.
GGGUAUAUAGCUCAGUGGUAGAGCAUGUGCUUAGCAUGCGCAAGGUCCUAGGUUUAAUCCCCAGAACCUCCA